RNAcentral lists this ribosomal RNA (679 nucleotides) under uncultured bacterium. RNAcentral's name for it is "bacterial SSU rRNA". It matches the Rfam family "Bacterial small subunit ribosomal RNA", at positions 62 to 711 of the family's 1533-position model. The record is from RNAcentral.
UCGAACGCGGUUAUUCCAGUUUCGCAAGAAAUUGGGAUGACUGAGUGGCGAACGGGUGAGUAACACGUGGGUGACCUACCUUCGAGUGGGGGAUAACGUCCCGAAAGGGACGCUAAUACCGCAUAACAUCCUUCCUUUGAACAGGAGGAGAUCAAAGCCGGGGAUCGCAAGACCUGGCGCUUGAUGAGGGGCCCGCGUCCGAUUAGCUAGUUGGUGAGGUAACGGCCCACCAAGGCGACGAUCGGUAACCGGCCUGAGAGGGCGGACGGUCACACUGGGACUGAGACACGGCCCAGACUCCUACGGGAGGCAGCAGUGGGGAAUUGUUCGCAAUGGGCGCAAGCCUGACGACGCAACGCCGCGUGGAGGAUGAAGGUCUUCGGAUUGUAAACUCCUGUUGCUCGGGACGAAAUGCUCCAACCUAAUACGUUGGAGUUUGACGGUACCGAGUGAGGAAGCCCCGGCUAACUCUGUGCCAGCAGCCGCGGUAAUACAGAGGGGGCAAGCGUUGUUCGGAAUUACUGGGCGUAAAGGGCGCGUAGGCGGCCUGUUAAGUCGAACGUGAAAUCCCCGGGCUCAACCCGGGAACUGCGUCCGAAACUGGCAGGCUCGAAUUCGGGAGAGGGAUGCGGAAUUCCAGGUGUAGCGGUGAAAUGCGUAAAUAUCUGGAGGAACAUCG